ACCUAUAGCCAAACCACCCUGAAAGCAAACAAUCUCAGGAGCUAAGCAGGGUCAGGCCUGUUUAGUAUUUAGUACUUAGUUAGAUAGGAGAAAUAUCCAGAAUGGACUGGAAUUUUAGGAA
This 121-nucleotide ribosomal RNA is filed under the name Octodon degus (degu). The record is from RNAcentral. Lineage: Eukaryota; Metazoa; Chordata; Mammalia; Rodentia; Octodontidae.